Molecule: ribosomal RNA, 253 nt
Filed under: uncultured Prevotella sp.
Lineage: Bacteria; Pseudomonadati; Bacteroidota; Bacteroidia; Bacteroidales; Prevotellaceae
Description: partial 16S ribosomal RNA
Rfam family: Bacterial small subunit ribosomal RNA
Source: RNAcentral
UACGGAAGGUCCGGGCGUUAUCCGGAUUUAUUGGGUUUAAAGGGAGCGUAGGCCGGUCUUUAAGCGUGCCGUGAAAUUUUGUGGCUCAACCAUGAGAGUGCGGCGCGAACUGGAGACCUUGAGUGCGCGGAAGGCAGGCGGAAUUCGUGGUGUAGCGGUGAAAUGCUUAGAUAUCAUGAAGAACUCCGAUCGCGAAGGCAAGUGUCCGGGGUGCAACUGACGCUGAGGCUCGAAAGUGCGGGUAUCAAACAGG